UUAUUUACUUGUCCAUUCCAAAUGCCAUUAAUAGGCACAGCAACUGAGAAAUAACUUUUCUCUAACAGAUAAAAAUAAAGUUAAAGUUAAAAGAGAUCUAAUUAUAAUUGAAUUGGAGACUAAGCUAGAUAGAUCGAUUAUUAAGAGGAACAUUUUUUAUUCAUCUAUGAGAAGGAAGGAAGGAAGGAAGGACCAGGCAGUCACAGUUUUUAAAAACGUCAAAUGGUGGAGCUAUCACAUAACUUUCGAAUAGUUAAAACCCUGUAGGAAAAGCUGCAUUCAAAAGGAGCUGUGAAAAUGAAUUCAGUCCUUAGAAAAUUAUACCAAAAAUAAUAUUUGAGAGACUGCUACAAAGAGGAGAGGAUCAACUUAUUUCCCAAACAUCAGAGGACAGGACAAGAUACAAUGGAUGAAAACUAAUGAAGGAAAGAAACUACCUGGAAUUAAGGAAAAAAAUCCUAACAGUGAGAGCAAUAAACCAGUGGAACAGCUUGCCUUCAGAAGUUCUUUUUUACCAAGGAGAUCUUUUGCAGUGAAUGAUGCAAAUUCUCAUGCAUGUUUGAACUAAUGAUAAGGAACAUUACUGUCACUCAGAAGUGGAUGCUGAUUUUGCCAGGGCUCUUCCCAUAUAUGCAUACCUGCAGAAGAUCUACUUCCAUUUCCGCUUCUACUUAAGAACCAAACAAGUCUGGAUAAUCUUUAAAAAUAUAGCUUCGUAUACCUUUGACUGAAGAUUAGUAUACUCGUCCUAUCUGGAAUGGUUAUCCUCAUCCAUCAAGCACAUAAGGACACAAAUGGAGCAGUCAAGGAGGAAGGGGACAUCCACCCAUCUGAUUCAACUAGAUCAGCUGAAUCAACCCAGAUGUUGCAGCCAAUUUUUCCUGGGUCAGAAUGUUGUGUGAAUAAUCAUUUGAAUUGAUGUAAUUUUACUGUCGUAAUUUAUAUCUCGUCCUUUGUUUAAUUUAUUAUUAUUACUUGUUUUAACUUUCUGAAACUUCCCUAUAUUCAUUUUCAAAUCAUGAGGUAUGAAAAUAGAGAGAAGAAAUUCCAACAAUUCCUUUCAAAUAUGGAAAUCUUGGCUUUUAAGACUGUCCUUAGAAGAAACAAGAACAUUUUGGUUUUGCAAUAUUGUGCAAUAAGAUGAUUUUUGGUACUAAAUUUUGUCUGAUUCAUAACUGCAACAAUGCAAGGAAGCAGAUCAAUCUGAAUUUUCCCAUUGUUCAUUCUCCACUCAAUUCCAAAUGGCAGUUUGAGAUAUUAUUGAAAAAGUAAUCUUCAUCUAAGAUUUGGAGAUUCUCCAAAUGAUAUACCCAUGAUAUACCUAUCAUUCAUGGAAUGAAUCUCAGUUAUAUUCUUAAGUUUACAAUUUUAUUUAUUUGCUUUUGAAAUUAUAUUUAAUGACAUUGUC
This is a non-coding RNA of Pantherophis guttatus, 1408 nucleotides long. The record is from RefSeq and is a predicted model, not a curated record. NCBI's taxonomy places the organism in Eukaryota, Metazoa, Chordata, Lepidosauria, Squamata, Colubridae.